This 231-nucleotide unclassified non-coding RNA is filed under the name uncultured Agaricales. RNAcentral describes it as "sequence contains ITS2". The record is from RNAcentral. Lineage: Eukaryota; Fungi; Basidiomycota; Agaricomycetes; Agaricales.
ACGUGUCAACACAGGCAAGUUUUUCGGGACUUGCUCUGCUGUUUGGAUGUUGAAGGCUUGCUGGCGGUGAACACUUUUCUGUCAGCUCCUUUUAAAUGCAUUAGCAGGAACCUUGCAGGACUGGCUUCAGUUUGAUAAGAUUGAACUGUUGCUAGAAUGCACUUUGGUGUUUCAGCUUCCAAUCGUCCAGCAAAACUGGACUGCCUCGCCUUGAGACAAUUACUAUUGACA